This 254-nucleotide ribosomal RNA is filed under the name uncultured bacterium. RNAcentral's name for it is "partial 16S ribosomal RNA". It matches the Rfam family "Bacterial small subunit ribosomal RNA", at positions 524 to 776 of the family's 1533-position model. The record is from RNAcentral.
UACGUAGGGUGCAAGCGUUGCCCGGAAUUAUUGGGCGUAAAGGGCUCGUAGGCGGUCUGUCACGUCGGGAGUGAAAACUCAGGGCUUAACCCUGAGCCUGCUUCCGAUACGGGCAGACUAGAGGUAUGCAGGGGAGAACGGAAUUCCUGGUGUAGCGGUGAAAUGCGCAGAUAUCAGGAGGAACACCGGUGGCGAAAGCGGCGUCUCUGGGACGGUACUGACGCUGAGACGCGAAAGCGUGGGGAGCAAACAGG